Molecule: ribosomal RNA, 253 nt
Filed under: uncultured bacterium
Lineage: Bacteria
Description: partial 16S ribosomal RNA
Rfam family: Bacterial small subunit ribosomal RNA
Source: RNAcentral
UACGUAGGGUGCGAGCGUUAAUCGGAAUUACUGGGCGUAAAGCGUGCGCAGGCGGUUUUGUAAGCCAGAUGUGAAAUCCCCGGGCUCAACCUGGGAAUGGCAUUUGGGACUGCAAGGCUGGAGUUUGGCAGAGGAGACUGGAAUUCCUGGUGUAGCAGUGAAAUGCGUAGAUAUCAGGAGGAACACCGGUGGCGAAGGCGGGUCUCUGGGCCGAUACUGACGCUGAGGAGCGAAAGCGUGGGGAGCGAACAGG